Hipposideros armiger (great roundleaf bat) is the source of this 1069-nucleotide long non-coding RNA. RefSeq lists it as uncharacterized. Lineage: Eukaryota; Metazoa; Chordata; Mammalia; Chiroptera; Hipposideridae. The record is from RefSeq and is a predicted model, not a curated record. The transcript has 3 exons.
GAGUACUUCACGGGUGACCAUAGUGAUAUUCAGCAAUGAGUCAAGGAAAUGGAUAGAAUUUAUUGACAUAUUUGGAAAAUCAGUGUGAUGUGGUGUGAGAACAUAGGACAUAUACAUCAGUAGAAAGACUGAAACAGAUGAGGAUGGAUAACCACAGAUACUCAUCUUCUGGAUUGUGAACAAGGGGACAACACUGUCUGGAAGUUGCCGAUUCAAAACUGUGAGCUGAAAUGAGACUCAGAAGAGUUGGACUGUAAAUGUGAAGCUGAUUUAGGAAUUCCACAGCAAAUUGUUUUUGCAUAUAUUUUCAUGCACAGAGUGAAGUAUGAUAAAAAUAUACAUCUAAGUUUAAAAUAAUUCAAUAAGUGUAAAAAACAUUCUUGGAGAUUAGAAUAUAUUUUAUUUUUUAAGUGGCAGCAUUGUUUUACUAUCUUGGUUCUUAAGAAUAACACUGUUAUUUAUAAUCUAUGGCAUUUUAGAUGUUAUGAAAUAUGCAGUCCCUCUAGUAUCUGAACAAGAUGGAUUUGAGGGGUUGCCUGAAACUGGGGACAAAAGAAAAGCAGAUAAGGAACUCUUACAAUGCUCUUAGUGAGAGUUGAUAAGUGAACCUGACUGAGGAACAAUGAAGGUUGUGAAGAACAGAACAAGGCAAAUCUGAGAGAGCUAUGUAGGAAGGAAAAUACAAAAACUUAAGUGAUAGAUUUAUGUGUCAUGGCAAGAGAAAAAAAAAUUAAGAAUAACUUCCUGGGCUGUUAUUAGCUAUUGGUAUAUUUUUGGAAUAGUAUAUUACUUUUAGAAUGGUAAAUAUGUAUAAGGACAUAGUACAAGAAGAAGCCUAUAAUUGGGGAAUGAAAAAAAGUAGAAUACAAAGUAGUACAUACGACUGACUAUAGUAAUGCUUGUGCAAGGGUAAGGAUCGAAGGGGUCAUAGAGAUUAAUAAAUCAAUGUGUUUUCACAAGGGAUUUCUUUGUAUUUUUCUUCAUCUUUUACUUUGAAGGCUGUUAAUUAUGUGCAAAAAAAACCCCCAAACAAACCAUGUUCACCAAGGGCAGGCAGUACUGGAGUGAA